RNAcentral lists this long non-coding RNA (562 nucleotides) under Nicotiana benthamiana. RNAcentral describes it as "long non-coding RNA (NBEN_LNC003624)". The record is from RNAcentral. Lineage: Eukaryota; Viridiplantae; Streptophyta; Magnoliopsida; Solanales; Solanaceae.
UGGCGACAAGCUAUUUUCAAACACAGAAGAAACUCAGCCCCAAGCAAGCAAGAUGGCAAGAUUUCUUGGCCGAGUUCGACUACGUGUUGGAACACAAACCGGGCAAGGCCAACUUUGUGGCGGAUGCGCUUAGCCGAAAAGCAGAACUGGCGGCAAUGUCAAGAGUCCAGGUGGAGCUCUUGGACCUUAUCAAGGAAGGCAUGGCGCAUGAUCCUUUAGCCAAGCAGCUGGGUGGAGCUCUUGGACCUUAUCAAGGAAGGCAUGGCGCAUGAUCCAUUAGCCAAGCAGCUGGUGCAGAUGGCUAAAGAGGGUAAAACCAAGCAAUUCUGGGUAGAAGGCGACCUAUUGCGCACCAAAGGGCAGCGGAUUUAUGUACCCAAAUGGGAGAGGUUGCGCAAAAGCAUCAUUAAGGAGUGCCAUGACACCCGCUGGGCGGGUCAUCCAGGUAAAAAACACACUCAAGCUUUGAUAGAGGCUAACUACUAUUGGCCUCGCAUGCGAGACGACAUAGAGUUAUACGUCAAGACUUGUCUUGUAUGCCAGCAAGACAAGGUGGAGCAAC